CUCGUGAAUUCAUCUCCGGGGGUAGAGCACUGUUUCGGCAAGGGGGUCAUCCCGACUUACCAACCCGAUGCAAACUGCGAAUACCGGAGAAUGUUAUCACGGGAGACACACGGCGGGUGCUAACGUCCGUCGUGAAGAGGGAAACAACCCAGACCGCCAGCUAAGGUCCCAAAGUCAUGGUUAAGUGGGAAACGAUGUGGGAAGGCCCAGACAGCCAGGAUGUUGGCUUAGAAGCAGCCAUCAUUUAAAGAAAGCGUAAUAGCUCACUGGUCGAGUCGGCCUGCGCGGAAGAUGUAACGGGGCUAAACCAUGCAC
RNAcentral lists this ribosomal RNA (315 nucleotides) under Escherichia coli. RNAcentral's name for it is "partial 23S ribosomal RNA". It matches the Rfam family "Bacterial large subunit ribosomal RNA", at positions 881 to 1194 of the family's 2925-position model. The record is from RNAcentral. Lineage: Bacteria; Pseudomonadati; Pseudomonadota; Gammaproteobacteria; Enterobacterales; Enterobacteriaceae.